Molecule: long non-coding RNA, 394 nt
Filed under: Mytilus galloprovincialis (Mediterranean mussel)
Lineage: Eukaryota; Metazoa; Mollusca; Bivalvia; Mytilida; Mytilidae
Source: RNAcentral
GUGUGAUAAAAGAGAGCGAGAGGAAAAGACUGUGAUGAAAAUUUCAUAUUAUCAAUAUGAACAACAUAAAUGUUUAUACUACAAGUGGUCUGUCAUAGUGGGAUGUUUAGCCUGCUAUUAAACCACGUUUAAACCAAUGUUUAAACCCAAUAUAAAAAAGAAGAUGUGAUAUGAUUGCCAAUGAGACAACUAUCCACAAAAGACCAAAAUGACAUAGACAUUAACAUUAGGUCACCGUACGGCCUUCAACAAUGAGCAAAGCCCAUACAGCAUAGUCAGCUAUAAAAGACCCCAAUAAGACAAUGUAAAACAAUUCAAACGAGAAAACUAACGGCCUUAUUUAUGUAAAAAAAAAAUGAACGAAAAACAAAUAUGUAACACAUAAACAAACGAC